Suricata suricatta (meerkat) is the source of this 1182-nucleotide long non-coding RNA. RefSeq lists it as uncharacterized. The record is from RefSeq and is a predicted model, not a curated record. NCBI's taxonomy places the organism in Eukaryota, Metazoa, Chordata, Mammalia, Carnivora, Herpestidae. The transcript has 4 exons.
UCUUGGCUGACAACCAGAAAGGAAACGGAGACCCCAGUUCUACAACCAAGGAAAACUGAACUUGGCCAACAACCUGAAUGGGCUUGGAUGCCAACUGAUCCCCAGGCUCUCCAGCAGGGAACAAAGCCCCACCAGCACUGUGACUAUAGCUUUGUGAAACUUUACGCAGGGAACCCAGCUGAACCACGCCUGGACUUCUGACCUGCAGAACUGUAAGAUAAGAAAUGGGUGUUGUUUUAAGCCUCUAGGUGGUAAUUCAUUACAGUAGCAAUAGAAUACCUAUACCCGGGGUGUAAACUGACCACUGCAAGGCAAUUUGAGCCACAUGGACUUCAAGGAGUGUGCCCCAGGCCACAGGCAGAGGGAACAAUAGCCGACUAUGGAAGAUGGCGGAGAAGGCUCUCUGAAGAAGGAGGAGUUUGUUUCAGCAGGACUUUGAAGGAACACUGUGUUAGGUCAGACUCCUCCCAGAAGCUUGCCCCGAAACAAGGAUUUUAGGGCAAGUGGUUGUUUUAGGUGAUAAUCCCAGGACAUACCAGCAGAGGAAUGAGAAGGUGUCCUUUUGAUGAUCCAUUCCCCUGAUGGGAGCAGAUAAAUCAGAAUGUGAAUGAACAAGGCUUCCACCACCCUCCGGCAUUUACAAAAUCUGCCCUAAAGACCUGACUGGCACAUAGAGCCAGGAUAAGGACAAGGAGCUUUUUUCCUGAUCAACAUUGUCAAAAGCAUGUCUGCUGUAAACACUUCUGCUCCUAUCGCCAAAUGGAAAUCCUUCAUUCCCCGGGAUGAAGGGGUACAGGGGUGGCAAGAAAUUUCAACUACCUACGAAGUCUCCAAAAGAGACAAAACGCACACUUUCCCAACUCUCCACCGAAAGCCUGUGCCUGUUACCUGAUGGGAGACGCUACAAAGCAGACCCGACCCGAACGCGGCCCACCUCAGGCUCCGCUAGUUUUAGUUCGAAAGAGCUCGACGCCUGCGCUUGCUUUCAAACUGAUCCAACAUGGCGCUGGCUUCCUCUUGGCCUUUUCUUAAUAGUUGUCACAAGACAGCUGCUGUAGUUCCAGAUGUCUUGCUUGCAUUCAGGGAUAGAAGGAGCAAUAAGAAAGACAGGGUCUGAUCCUAUUAAUAAAAAAGCAAAGGGGCGCCUGGGCAACUAGGUUAAGUGUCCAACUGGCUCAGGUC